CUAAGGAGCUCGAGGGUCUAUAUAUUAAGGGGAAGAGUGUGAAAAGGAAGUGGCUAUAAACGUCUCUGAUGAGGAAGGAACAAUGUCAUGUGGCCUUACAGCAAGGAGUCGGUGAGGUUUUAAAUUAUUUGGCCGAAUUGGAAUUACUGCUGCUUAUGGGUUAAUUUAGAAGAUUAAAUUUGUUUGACUUAUGGUAUGGAGAUUGAGCAACAAUGGUACUUUUAUAU
Molecule: long non-coding RNA, 227 nt
Filed under: Medicago truncatula (barrel medic)
Lineage: Eukaryota; Viridiplantae; Streptophyta; Magnoliopsida; Fabales; Fabaceae
Description: lncRNA gene50036
Source: RNAcentral